This 274-nucleotide ribosomal RNA is filed under the name uncultured bacterium. RNAcentral describes it as "partial 16S ribosomal RNA". It matches the Rfam family "Bacterial small subunit ribosomal RNA", at positions 523 to 796 of the family's 1533-position model. The record is from RNAcentral.
AUACGAACCGCCCAAACGUUAUUCGGAAUCACUGGGCUUAAAGGGUGCGUAGGCGGCCGUGCAGGUGGGAUGUGAAAGCCCUCGGCUCAACCGAGGAAUUGCGUCUCAAACCGUGCGGCUCGAGGGAGACAGAGGUGAGCGGAACUUGCAGUGGAGCGGUGAAAUGCGUUGAUAUUGCAAGGAACACCCGUGGCGAAAGCGGCUCACUGGGUCUCUUCUGACGCUGAGGCACGAAAGCUAGGGUAGCGAACAGGAUUAGAAACCCCAGUAGUCC